UAUCUGUUCUUAUCAGUUUAAUAUCUGAUAUGUCCUUUAUUUGAGGACUGUAUAUUAAAUUGAUUUUUGAAACAGGGGGAUGGAAUAGGAGCUUGCUCUGUCUAUCCCAUGCAUUGACCUGGUAUUGCAGUGUCUCCAGGAAUGGUGC
This 148-nucleotide small nuclear RNA is filed under the name Chrysemys picta bellii (western painted turtle). RNAcentral describes it as "U2 spliceosomal RNA (ENSCPBG00000018192.1)". It matches the Rfam family "U2 spliceosomal RNA", at positions 37 to 185 of the family's 192-position model. From Rfam's summary of the family: U2 is a small nuclear RNA (snRNA) component of the spliceosome (involved in pre-mRNA splicing). Complementary binding between U2 snRNA (in an area lying towards the 5' end but 3' to hairpin I) and the branchpoint sequence (BPS) of the intron results the bulging out of an unpaired adenosine, on the BPS, which initiates a nucleophilic attack at the intronic 5' splice site, thus starting the first of two transesterification reactions that mediate splicing. Lineage: Eukaryota; Metazoa; Chordata; Testudines; Emydidae. The record is from RNAcentral.